This 253-nucleotide ribosomal RNA is filed under the name uncultured bacterium. Its description in RNAcentral is "partial 16S ribosomal RNA". It matches the Rfam family "Bacterial small subunit ribosomal RNA", at positions 524 to 776 of the family's 1533-position model. The record is from RNAcentral.
UACAGAGGGGGCAAGCGUUAUUCGGAAUUAUUGGGCGUAAAGGGCGCGUAGGCGGCCUGGCAAGUGGAAGGUGAAAUCCCUCGGCUUAACCGAGGAACUGCCCUCCAAACUGCUUGGCUUGAGACCGGGAGAGGUGAGUGGAAUUCCCAGUGUAGCGGUGAAAUGCGUAGAUAUUCGCAAGAACACCAGUGGCGAAGGCGGCUCACUGGCCCGAUACUGACGCUGAGGCACGAAAGCGUGGGGAGCAAACAGG